GCUGGGUGUGGUGGUGCACACCUGUAAUCCCAGCAGCUUGAGAGGCUGAGAUAGGAGGAUCGUGAGUUCAAAGCCAGCCUCAGCAAAAAGUGAGGAACUAAGCAACUCAGUGAGACCCUGUCUAUA
This 126-nucleotide small RNA is filed under the name Marmota monax (woodchuck). The record is from RNAcentral. Lineage: Eukaryota; Metazoa; Chordata; Mammalia; Rodentia; Sciuridae.